Phyllopteryx taeniolatus (common seadragon) is the source of this 511-nucleotide long non-coding RNA. RefSeq lists it as uncharacterized. The record is from RefSeq and is a predicted model, not a curated record. The transcript is spliced from 3 exons. NCBI's taxonomy places the organism in Eukaryota, Metazoa, Chordata, Actinopteri, Syngnathiformes, Syngnathidae.
GUGAACAGGAGGUCGGCCAAUUGGGUUGAAUUGCAGGGCUCGUACUGACAAACUUCAACUUAAUAAAAAAAUUAAAGCACUUUCUUUGAAAAUGUCCAUUGCAAUUGACAUUUUUUUCACACCUCUUCAGAGCCCUUGGAAGUUUGAACCCAAAGUUAAUAAGCUAAAUGAAUUGAUGAGAAAAAAAUGUUAACUGACUGCUAUUGGAGGAGACCAGACGACUCUCGGACUGCACCAGCGCCGCGUUGGACAGGAACACCAGUCUGCGCAAACUUCAGCUUGGAGGGACAAACAGCUUGAAGAAAGCACACUUUGCGUCCUAUUUGGACAACUGAAUGAGAACAGGCACUAAGGAAUAAAGUGCUUUAAAAAGCCGGUCUUUGCGUGGCAGAGCGUGAGUGACAGGUCGGCGUCGGUGUCCGUGCGAGUGCGCAGCCUCUUCCUAAGGACCGAGUAGGCCUGCCGUUCCCGCACGGCCGCCAGCAAGUCGGCCGGCAGCGCCAGACGGUUC